GCCAGUGUAGUAUAGUAGUUUGAGUGCUGGACUACAACUCUGAAGACCAGGGUUCAAAUCCCUGCCCAGCCA
Molecule: non-coding RNA, 72 nt
Organism: Phrynosoma platyrhinos (Desert horned lizard)
Lineage: Eukaryota; Metazoa; Chordata; Lepidosauria; Squamata; Phrynosomatidae
Source: the annotation of a GenBank genome assembly